CCUACGGGUGGCUGCAGUGGGGAAUAUUGGACAAUGGGGGCAACCCUGAUCCAGCCAUGCCGCGUUUGUGAAGAAGGCCCUCGGGUUGUAAAGCACUUUCAGUGAGGAAGAACGCCUGGUGGUUAAUACCCAUCAGGAAAGACAUCACUCACAGAAGAAGCACCGGCUAACUCCGUGCCAGCAGCCGCGGUAAUACGGAGGGUGCGAGCGUUAAUCGGAAUUACUGGGCGUAAAGCGCGCGUAGGUGGCUUGAUAAGCCGGUUGUGAAAGCCCCGGGCUCAACCUGGGAACGGCAUCCGGAACUGUCAAGCUAGAGUGCAGGAGAGGAAGGUAGAAUUCCCGGUGUAGCGGUGAAAUGCGUAGAGAUCGGGAGGAAUACCAGUGGCGAAGGCGGCCUUCUGGACUGACACUGACACUGAGGUGCGAAAGCGUGGGUAGCAAACAGGAUUAGAUACCCUGGUAGUC
RNAcentral lists this ribosomal RNA (465 nucleotides) under Vreelandella stevensii. RNAcentral describes it as "partial 16S ribosomal RNA". It matches the Rfam family "Bacterial small subunit ribosomal RNA", at positions 338 to 795 of the family's 1533-position model. The record is from RNAcentral. Lineage: Bacteria; Pseudomonadati; Pseudomonadota; Gammaproteobacteria; Oceanospirillales; Halomonadaceae.